Impatiens glandulifera is the source of this 124-nucleotide small nucleolar RNA. RefSeq annotates it as small nucleolar RNA Z152/R70/R12. NCBI's taxonomy places the organism in Eukaryota, Viridiplantae, Streptophyta, Magnoliopsida, Ericales, Balsaminaceae. The record is from RefSeq and is a predicted model, not a curated record. The transcript has a single exon.
UGUGCAAUGAUGAGAUUAAGUGCCUUAAGGGGGUGUUUAGGACAGUGGAAUAAAGGGACGCACUUAGUUGUUGCGUCUUUCCGUGAGUCUUACUACAAAACGACUUCUCCUUCCACUGAGCAUA